GUUUCUCCUGGAAACGGGUGGUAAUGCCGGAUGCUCCGACAUGACGCAUGUCGUGUCGGGAAAGAUUCUAUCGGUAUGGGAUGGGGUCGCGUCCUAUCAGCUUGAUGGCGGGGUAACGGCCCACCAUGGCUUCGACGGGUAGCCGGCCUGAGAGGGCGACCGGCCACAUUGGGACUGAGAUACGGCCCAGACUCCUACGGGAGGCAGCAGUGGGGAAUAUUGCACAAUGGGCGCAAGCCUGAUGCAGCGACGCCGCGUGCGGGAUGACGGCCUUCGGGUUGUAAACCGCUUUUGACUGGGAGCAAGCCCUUCGGGGUGAGUGUACCUUUCGAAUAAGCACCGGCUAACUACGUGCCAGCAGCCGCGGUAAUACGUAGGGUGCAAGCGUUAUCCGGAAUUAUUGGGCGUAAAGGGCUCGUAGGCGGUUCGUCGCGUCCGGUGUGAAAGUCCAUCGCUUAACGGUGGAUCCGCGCCGGGUACGGGCGGGCUUGAGUGCGGUAGGGGAGACUGGAAUUCCCGGUGUAACGGUGGAAUGUGUAGAUAUCGGGAAGAACACCA
Molecule: ribosomal RNA, 558 nt
Filed under: Bifidobacterium adolescentis
Lineage: Bacteria; Bacillati; Actinomycetota; Actinomycetes; Bifidobacteriales; Bifidobacteriaceae
Description: bacterial SSU rRNA
Rfam family: Bacterial small subunit ribosomal RNA
Source: RNAcentral